This 1281-nucleotide ribosomal RNA is filed under the name Triticum aestivum (bread wheat). RNAcentral's name for it is "partial small subunit ribosomal RNA". Lineage: Eukaryota; Viridiplantae; Streptophyta; Magnoliopsida; Poales; Poaceae. The record is from RNAcentral.
AUGGGUAGGCUCAGAUUAGUGCACCUGCAAUUCAUCCUCGAUAGGAUCCGUGCAUGCCUCGCAGGCUGGAAAGGGAGGCUCAUGCCCUUCGCCGGCAGACGCGUCCUGGUACGCUGUGUCCUCUCGGCAAUGCCCACCUUCGCCCUCACUGUGCUGCGGGCGCCCAAAAAGUUUUACAAGGAAGUGGACAAGGCAAGACGAAGGUUCCUCUGGGCGCAAGACGAGGUGGCCACCGGUGGAAAGUGCAAGGUGCGAUGGCCGGCGGUGACCGCGCCAGCGCACGCUGGAGGCUUGGGCAUCCACGAUCUGGAGAAGUUCGCCCGAGCACUGCGCCUGCGAUGGCUAUGGCUUGCAUGGACGCAGCCCUCACGCCCCUGGGUUGGCACCAACUCCCCAUGCGACGACACCGAUCGCGCCCUGUUCGCUGCCUGCACGGCCGUCACCGUCGGGGACGGCUCCAGGGCUUCCUUCUGGCACUCUUCCUGGCUCAACGGCAGGCAGCUAUGUCAGGCAUACCCCGCAGUGUUUGCCCGCUCCGCCCGCAAGAACAGAUGCGUCCAAGAAGCCCUGCAUCAGGACCGAUGGGUGCUCGACCUCCGUCACGGUGAUCAUGGCGACAUUAUGCACAUGGUGCUGCAGCUUGCCAGGGAGAUCAGAAGUGCCGGCAUCACGCUUCAAGCUGGCAGGGCCGACACCAUCACCUGGACCCGAGGCAACUCCGGCAGCUACUCCACGCGCUUCGCCUACGAUGUUCAAUUUGAAGAGCGCCCGACACUUGACUUCACCACAACCAUCUGGAAGGCCUGGGCACCCGACAAGAUGAAAGUCCUCCUUUGGCUGCUGCACUUAGAUCGUCUAUGGUGCAACGAUAGGCUUCAGCGACGCGGAUGGAUCAACAACUACUUCUGCCAGCUCUGCCUAUGCAACCUUGAGUCCUCGACGCACCUGUUCUGGGAAUGCACCGUGACCAUUCAGUGCUGGAACGAGAUGGCAACCUGGCUAGGAUGCCACUCUUUCAGUCAUUCCGUCUGGAGCGCGGGAAGGUCCAUGGCCGAAAGGGUUCGCCGGAUCAUCGAUGGAGCCAACCUUGGCACGAGGAAGGGCACCAGAUCGCUGCUCAUCCUGAUGAUCUGGCAAAUUUGGUUAGAGCGGAAUGCGUGCACCUUCAGAGGGAAAUCACCAUGUGCCAGCAGCAUCAUAGCGGCAUGCCGCCAUGACAUGGAACAGUGGAGGAUCGCCGGAGCUAAAUGCAUAGCGCACCCCUUCGGGGACGUGCCGUGA